CCUACGGGCGGCUGCAGUGAGGAAUAUUGGUCAAUGGGCGGAAGCCUGAACCAGCCAAGUAGCGUGCGGGAUGAAGGCCCUACGGGUCGUAAACCGCUUUUGCACGGGGACAACACCCUCCACUUGUGCCUGUCUGCAGGUACCUUGCGAAUAAGGGCCGGCUAAUUCCGUGCCAGCAGCCGCGGUAAUACGGAAGGCCCGAGCGUUAUCCGGAUUCAUUGGGCUUAAAGGGAGCGUAGGCGGGCGUUCAAGUCAGCUGUAAAAUCGCGCGGCUCAACCGCGCCCCGCAGUUGAAACUGGAUGCCUUGAGUUGACAACAGGCAGGCGGAAUUCGUGGUGUAGCGGUGAAAUGCAUAGAUAUCACGAGGAACCCCGAUUGCGAAGGCAGCCUGCCGGGGUGCGACUGACGCUGAGGCUCGAAGGUGCGGGUAUCAAACAGGAUUAGAUACCCCAGUAGUC
RNAcentral lists this ribosomal RNA (459 nucleotides) under uncultured bacterium. RNAcentral's name for it is "partial 16S ribosomal RNA". It matches the Rfam family "Bacterial small subunit ribosomal RNA", at positions 338 to 795 of the family's 1533-position model. The record is from RNAcentral.